UACGUGAGGGGCGAACGUUGUUCGGUGUCACUGGGCUUAAAGGGCGCGUAGGUGGCUGUACAAGUAAGGUGUGAAAGCCCCCGGCUUACCCGGGGAAUUGCGCCUUAUACUGUGCGGCUUGAGGGUCACAGGGGAAAGAGGAACUCCAGGUGUAGUGGUGAAAUACGCAGAUAUCUGGGGGAAGGCCGGCGGCGAAGGCGUCUUUCUGGGUGAUUCCUGACACUGAGGCGCGAAAGCGUGGGGAG
RNAcentral lists this ribosomal RNA (245 nucleotides) under uncultured bacterium. RNAcentral's name for it is "partial 16S ribosomal RNA". It matches the Rfam family "Bacterial small subunit ribosomal RNA", at positions 524 to 768 of the family's 1533-position model. The record is from RNAcentral.